RNAcentral lists this ribosomal RNA (1408 nucleotides) under Bacillus safensis. RNAcentral describes it as "bacterial SSU rRNA". It matches the Rfam family "Bacterial small subunit ribosomal RNA". Lineage: Bacteria; Bacillati; Bacillota; Bacilli; Caryophanales; Bacillaceae. The record is from RNAcentral.
GGAGCUUGCUCCCGGAUGUUAGCGGCGGACGGGUGAGUAACACGUGGGUAACCUGCCUGUAAGACUGGGAUAACUCCGGGAAACCGGAGCUAAUACCGGAUAGUUCCUUGAACCGCAUGGUUCAAGGAUGAAAGACGGUUUCGGCUGUCACUUACAGAUGGACCCGCGGCGCAUUAGCUAGUUGGUGGGGUAAUGGCUCACCAAGGCGACGAUGCGUAGCCGACCUGAGAGGGUGAUCGGCCACACUGGGACUGAGACACGGCCCAGACUCCUACGGGAGGCAGCAGUAGGGAAUCUUCCGCAAUGGACGAAAGUCUGACGGAGCAACGCCGCGUGAGUGAUGAAGGUUUUCGGAUCGUAAAGCUCUGUUGUUAGGGAAGAACAAGUGCGAGAGUAACUGCUCGCACCUUGACGGUACCUAACCAGAAAGCCACGGCUAACUACGUGCCAGCAGCCGCGGUAAUACGUAGGUGGCAAGCGUUGUCCGGAAUUAUUGGGCGUAAAGGGCUCGCAGGCGGUUUCUUAAGUCUGAUGUGAAAGCCCCCGGCUCAACCGGGGAGGGUCAUUGGAAACUGGGAAACUUGAGUGCAGAAGAGGAGAGUGGAAUUCCACGUGUAGCGGUGAAAUGCGUAGAGAUGUGGAGGAACACCAGUGGCGAAGGCGACUCUCUGGUCUGUAACUGACGCUGAGGAGCGAAAGCGUGCGGAGCGAACAGGAUUAGAUACCCUGGUAGUCCACGCCGUAAACGAUGAGUGCUAAGUGUUAGGGGGUUUCCGCCCCUUAGUGCUGCAGCUAACGCAUUAAGCACUCCGCCUGGGGAGUACGGUCGCAAGACUGAAACUCAAAGGAAUUGACGGGGGCCCGCACAGGGCCCGCACAAGCGGUGGAGCAUGUGGUUUAAUUUGAAGCAACGCGAAGAACCUUACCAGGUCUUGACAUCCUUUGACAACCCUAGAGAUAGGGCUUUCCCUUCGGGGACAGAGUGACAGGUGGUGCAUGGUUGUCGUCAGCUCGUGUCGUGAGAUGUUGGGUUAAGUCCCGCAACGAGCGCAACCCUUGAUCUUAGUUGCCAGCAUUCAGUUGGGCACUCUAAGGUGACUGCCGGUGACAAACCGGAGGAAGGUGGGGAUGACGUCAAAUCAUCAUGCCCCUUAUGACCUGGGCUACACACGUGCUACAAUGGACAGAACAAAGGGCUGCAAGACCGCAAGGUUUAGCCAAUCCCAUAAAUCUGUUCUCAGUUCGGAUCGCAGUCUGCAACUCGACUGCGUGAAGCUGGAAUCGCUAGUAAUCGCGGAUCAGCAUGCCGCGGUGAAUACGUUCCCGGGCCUUGUACACACCGCCCGUCACACCACGAGAGUUUGCAACACCCGAAGUCGGUGAGGUAACCUUUAUGGAGCCAGCCGCC